RNAcentral lists this ribosomal RNA (257 nucleotides) under uncultured bacterium. Its description in RNAcentral is "partial 16S ribosomal RNA". It matches the Rfam family "Bacterial small subunit ribosomal RNA", at positions 521 to 777 of the family's 1533-position model. The record is from RNAcentral.
UAAUACGUAGGGUGCGAGCGUUAAUCGGAAUUACUGGGCGUAAAGCGUGCGCAGGCGGUUUUUUAAGACAGGCGUGAAAUCCCCGGGCUUAACCUGGGAACUGCGCUUGUGACUGGAAGACUAGAGUAUGGCAGAGGGGGGUGGAAUUCCACGUGUAGCAGUGAAAUGCGUAGAGAUGUGGAGGAACACCGAUGGCGAAGGCAGCCCCCUGGGCCAAUACUGACGCUCAUGCACGAAAGCGUGGGGAGCAAACAGGA